Molecule: long non-coding RNA, 705 nt
Organism: Melospiza melodia melodia
Lineage: Eukaryota; Metazoa; Chordata; Aves; Passeriformes; Passerellidae
Exons: 4
Source: RefSeq, a predicted model, not a curated record
GGAGCCAGCAGGACAGACCGAGACCCACCGGACACAGCAGAACCCACCGGUCCCCGUGUCCCCGAUACUGUCUCCCCCCAUUCGCCGGUUCCUGGCCCUGCUGAGGCCCGAGCGCGGGCGAUGUACUCUGGUGGGAAGCUGAUGUCGGCUUCUGCUCUCGAAGUUUUUCCCUGUGGUCUGGUCACAGCUGUGCUGAGGAACAGGAAGACCCACGGCCACAUGAGGGAGACCCGUGGAAAAGCCUUGGUGCCUCAAGGGGAUCCUGACCAGUGGAGUGGAGAGCUGCAGCAGUGCUGAGGAACAGGGAACAGCCAAAUGAGGGAGACCCGUAGAGAAGCCUUGGUGCCCAGAGGGGAUCCUGACCAGCAGCCUGGAGAGCUGCAGGCUUGAAGAUGCCAUCAGGAUUCAGAGGAAGAAGCUGACACUGACCAGACAGAAUCCUGUGUUUGAAUGGAAUUUCUGCAUCAUGUAUGAGGUGUGUGAAUAUGCAACAGGUUAUUGUUUUUAAGAGUUAAUCCUCGGUUAAUGUGUGUCCUUUUAUGGGCUUAUGCUGCCCAGAAAAGGGUACCUGGACGUCUGCUACUCUUUGCUUUUGUUGUCUCAUAUUGUCCUAAAUCCUAAUUGUCCAAAUUACUAAUGCUCUAAUUAUAUUACUGUUUUUAUAACCAUUUUAUUACUAUUAAACUUUUAAAAUUUUAAAAACAA